UUUGAUCCUGGCUCAGAUUGAACGCUGGCGGCAGGCCUAACACAUGCAAGUCGAGCGGCAGCACGGGAAGCUUGCUUCCUGGUGGCGAGCGGCGGACGGGUGAGUAAUGCAUAGGAAUCUGCCCGGUAGUGGGGGAUAACCUGGGGAAACCCAGGCUAAUACCGCAUACGUCCUACGGGAGAAAGCAGGGGCUCUUCGGACCUUGCGCUAUCGGAUGAGCCUAUGUCGGAUUAGCUGGUUGGUGAGGUAAUGGCUCACCAAGGCGACGAUCCGUAGCUGGUCUGAGAGGAUGAUCAGCCACAUCGGGACUGAGACACGGCCCGAACUCCUACGGGAGGCAGCAGUGGGGAAUAUUGGACAAUGGGCGCAAGCCUGAUCCAGCCAUGCCGCGUGUGUGAAGAAGGCCCUCGGGUUGUAAAGCACUUUCAGUGGGGAAGAACGCCUUCCGGCUAAUACCCGGGAGGAAAGACAUCACCCACAGAAGAAGCACCGGCUAACUCCGUGCCAGCAGCCGCGGUAAUACGGAGGGUGCGAGCGUUAAUCGGAAUUACUGGGCGUAAAGCGCGCGUAGGUGGCUUGAUAAGCCGGUUGUGAAAGCCCCGGGCUCAACCUGGGAACGGCAUCCGGAACUGUCAGGCUAGAGUGCAGGAGAGGAAGGUAGAAUUCCCGGUGUAGCGGUGAAAUGCGUAGAGAUCGGGAGGAAUACCAGUGGCGAAGGCGGCCUUCUGGACUGACACUGACACCGAGGUGCGAAAGCGUGGGUAGCAAACAGGAUUAGAUACCCUGGUAGUCCACGCCGUAAACGAUGUCGACUAGCCGUUGGGUCCUUCGCGGACUUUGUGGCGCAGUUAACGCGAUAAGUCGACCGCCUGGGGAGUACG
RNAcentral lists this ribosomal RNA (881 nucleotides) under uncultured Halomonas sp. RNAcentral describes it as "bacterial SSU rRNA". It matches the Rfam family "Bacterial small subunit ribosomal RNA", at positions 12 to 884 of the family's 1533-position model. Lineage: Bacteria; Pseudomonadati; Pseudomonadota; Gammaproteobacteria; Oceanospirillales; Halomonadaceae. The record is from RNAcentral.